This 440-nucleotide ribosomal RNA is filed under the name uncultured bacterium. RNAcentral describes it as "partial 16S ribosomal RNA". It matches the Rfam family "Bacterial small subunit ribosomal RNA", at positions 338 to 795 of the family's 1533-position model. The record is from RNAcentral.
CCUACGGGGGGCAGCAGUGGGGAAUAUUGCACAAUGGGGGGAACCCUGAUGCAGCGACGCCGCGUGAGUGAAGAAGUAUUUCGGUAUGUAAAGCUCUAUCAGCAGGGAAGAAGAUGACGGUACCUGACUAAGAAGCCCCGGCUAACUACGUGCCAGCAGCCGCGGUAAUAUGUAGGGGGCAAGCGUUAUCCGGAUUUACUGGGUGUAAAGGGAGCGUAGACGGCAGGGCAAGUCUGGAGUGAAAGCCCGGGGCCCAACCCCGGAACUGCAUUUGAAACUGCCAUGCUAGAGUGCUGGAGAGGUAAGCGGAAUUCCUAGUGUAGCGGUGAAAUGCGUAGAUAUUAGGAGGAACACCAGUGGCGAAGGCGGCUUACUGGACAGGAACUGACGGUGAGGCUCGAAAGCGUGGGGAGCAAACAGGAUUAGAUACCCGUGUAGUC